AGCGAACGCUGGCGGCGUACCUAACACAUGCAAGUCGAACGAGGAUCGUCGGUGUAGCAAUACAUUGGCGGUUCUAGUGGCGCACGGGUGAGUAACACGUGGGUGACCUGCCCUUGAGUUCGGGAUACCCCCUCGAAAGGGGGGCUAAUACCGGAUACGUUCCUCGGUUGAAAGACCGGGGAGGAAAGGUGGCGCAAGCUGCCGCUCUUGGAGGGGCUCGCGGCCUAUCAGCUAGUUGGCGGGGUAACGGCCCACCAAGGCUAUGACGGGUAGCUGGUCUGAGAGGACGACCAGCCACACGGGGACUGAGACACGGCCCCGACUCCUACGGGAGGCAGCAGUGGGGAAUUUUCCGCAAUGGGCGAAAGCCUGACGGAGUGACGCCGCGUGGGGGACGAAGGCCUUCGGGUCGUAAACCCCUCGUCAGUGGGAAAGAAGGGUGUCGGUGCUAAUACCACCGGCAUCUGACGGUACCUGCAGAGGAAGCCCCGGCCAACUCUGUGCCAGCAGCCGCGGUAAGACAGAGGGGC
This 530-nucleotide ribosomal RNA is filed under the name uncultured bacterium. RNAcentral describes it as "bacterial SSU rRNA". It matches the Rfam family "Bacterial small subunit ribosomal RNA", at positions 28 to 534 of the family's 1533-position model. The record is from RNAcentral.